GAAAAUGUAUCCUUUAUUGCUUUCAUCUGAGAAUGUAGAUGUAUCGAAGGAUAAAUCUUUUAAUACUUUUUAGAUUUUUUUAGACACUAAGCUCGGUAAUUCUCCUCAAUUAAAAAAAAAUGGUUCACUUGACCUAAAACAUACUGUAAGUGGUGAUUCCUCAUACAGGAGGACAUUGCCAGUGUGAUUAUUAACCUUUAAAUGAACAAAUCAAUAUUUCCACUUAUUGGGGGGUGAGGGUGGGUACAGUAUGCUUCGUUUUAUAGCCUGAAAGCAAACAUAAUUCUUUUAGUCCUGAAAUAUACGGUUACAGCACCGCAAAACAGCAAAUUUCAAUGUAAUACUGAAAAGUGUCAUUUAAAUAGCUGUUUCAUGCAGCUUUUCCCUUUUCUCGCAUUGCGGUGUACGCCGUUUGCACGAUCAGCUCUGCAUCAGGUGCCCUUAGUUUGUAAACUUUGCCACAUGGCCAGAGUGUUCCUGCCUGUGACUAUGCAGAGCACCACAGACGCCUGUUUGGGGAAAAAUAAAUGUGUUGAACCAGCGGGAAGAUCUACCCACUAGUUUUCGUUAACGCCGAACGUAUGAACUCUGUCAAAUCCAGAAAACACCGUCAUUCAUUAAACCCCAACGCGCCUGCCUCUUGAGAAGGGAGAGAUGGCUCUCUGAUCUACGUGGUCCCAUUAGUUCUCAGUCUUUGAAGCAGUGGGAGAUCUGUGCUGUGAAGCAGUACAGCAACAAAGAUUGUCUUCACAUUCUGCAUGGUGUACGUUGUAGAACACUUGACGGGGCAGAUGGUUUUCAGCGGGGCGGAGCAGGCUGUGGAAAGUUCCAGAAAUAAAAUGUCCGAAAAGACAAAAAGGCCCAUCGAAGCCAUGGGAGAGCACCAGACGUCAGCCCACGCAGUGCAAUCGUUAUUUUGGCAGCUCUAUCCAGACAAUCUCAACGAUAAAUCAUCGUUCAAUAAAAAGCAACUGUAGCGAACACAGGUUAUUUCUCUCUUUCGCGUCUCAGAUAAAGAGGAACACAUUUCGUUCCAGCACAGGUGGGCCUCAGGACAUUCCCACAGCUGGCGAAAGAAAGUUCACACUACACCCCUGCUACACUAGGGAAAUCAGACGCAUUAUUUUUCGUUUUGUGGGGUUAAAUGCAUCCUACUAAUUUUAAUGUAUCCUCUGAUGAUCAGGUGUUUUUAGUGGCACACUUCGGAUUGUUAUAUCAUCAUUAUUGUAAUUAUUGAAAUCAUUAUUAACCACUGAUUGUUCUGCUAUGGAGGUUAUUCAACAAUUGGACAUUGAAGUGGAGUAAUGUAUUACGUGACAUUCGCUGUUCAAAUAAUGCUAUAGGUCGUUUGUAACGGGUUACAAUAUUGAAGUAAUCAAACUCGUUUGUUUUAACCUAGUGUGUUUUGAAUGUCAAAAAGAAUUAAACCCGUCGGUUCAUUUUGUUAUACUUUUAAAUUUGACUUUUAUUGCUACGUUAUUCUGUUAUGUCUGGAAUCCUUCACGUUAACCACUGUAGUUGCUGUUUUCUUGGUUUGCUUUGAUUUCUGUGUAACUUACACAGAAGUAUGUUGUUGUUUCCAAACUGUUAUACCACUGUACUGUAUUUAUAUUUUUACUGUUAGGUAAUUACAGUAUGUUCUGAAU
Long non-coding RNA from Lepisosteus oculatus (spotted gar), 1646 nucleotides. The record is from Ensembl. Lineage: Eukaryota; Metazoa; Chordata; Actinopteri; Semionotiformes; Lepisosteidae.